Molecule: small nuclear RNA, 122 nt
Organism: Lethenteron reissneri (Far Eastern brook lamprey)
Lineage: Eukaryota; Metazoa; Chordata; Hyperoartia; Petromyzontiformes; Petromyzontidae
Source: RefSeq, a predicted model, not a curated record
GUGUUGUAUGAAAGGAGAGGUUCGCACCCACCUUGAUAAAAACGGAAGAUGCACUUGUGGUCUUUGCACAAAAUAUUUUUAAGGCAUGGCCACCUACUUUGUGGCAUUAAACUAUGUUUUUU